This 1288-nucleotide ribosomal RNA is filed under the name Aeromicrobium sp. RNAcentral's name for it is "bacterial SSU rRNA". It matches the Rfam family "Bacterial small subunit ribosomal RNA", at positions 126 to 1424 of the family's 1533-position model. Lineage: Bacteria; Bacillati; Actinomycetota; Actinomycetes; Propionibacteriales; Nocardioidaceae. The record is from RNAcentral.
CUGCCCUUCUCAUCGGAAUAAGCGUUGGAAACGACGUCUAAUGCCGAAUACGACCUCUGAUCGCAUGAUCGGAGGUGGAAAGCUCCGGCGGAGAAGGAUGAGCUCGCGGCCUAUCAGCUAGUUGGUGAGGUAACGGCUCACCAAGGCGACGACGGGUAGCCGGCCUGAGAGGGUGACCGGCCACACUGGGACUGAAACACGGCCCAGACUCCUACGGGAGGCAGCAGUGGGGAAUAUUGGACAAUGGGCGAAAGCCUGAUCCAGCAACGCCGCGUGAGGGAUGACGGCCUUCGGGUUGUAAACCUCUUUCAGCAGGGACGAAGCGAAAGUGACGGUACCUGCAAAAAAAGGACCGGCCAACUACGUGCCAGCAGCCGCGGUAAUACGUAGGGUCCGAGCGUUGUCCGGAAUUAUUGGGCGUAAAGGGCUCGUAGGCGGUCUGUCGCGUCGGGAGUGAAAACUCAGGGGCUUAACCCUGAGCGUGCUUCCGAUACGGGCAGACUAGAGGUAUGCAGGGGAGAACGGAAUUCCUGGUGUAGCGGUGGAAUGCGCAGAUAUCAGGAGGAACACCGGUGGCGAAGGCGGUUCUCUGGGCAUGACCUGACGCUGAGGAGCGAAAGCAUGGGGAGCGAACAGGAUUAGAUACCCUGGUAGUCCAUGCCGUAAACGUUGGGCGCUAGGUGUGGGGUCCUUCCACGGACUCCGUGCCGCAGUUAACGCAUUAAGCGCCCCGCCUGGGGAGUACGGCCGCAAGGCUAAAAACUCAAAGGAAUUGACGGGGGCCCCGCACAAGCGGCGGAGCAUGCUGAUUAAUUCGAUGCAACGCGAAGAACCUUACCUGGGUUUGACAUAUACCGGAAAGCUGCAGAGAUGUAGCCCCCCUUGUGGUCGGUAUACAGGUGGUGCAUGGCUGUCGUCAGCUCGUGUCGUGAGAUGUUGGGUUAAGUCCCGCAACGAGCGCAACCCUCGUCCUAUGUUGCCAGCACGUGAUGGUGGGGACUCAUAGGAGACUGCCGGGGUCAACUCGGAGGAAGGUGGGGAUGACGUCAAGUCUUCAUGCCCCUUAUGCCCAGGGCUUCAAGCAUGCUACAAUGGCCGGUACAAUGGGCUGCGAAACCGCAAGGUGGAGCGAAUCCCAAAAAGCCGGUCUCAGUUCGGAUUGGGGUCUGCAACUCGACCCCAUGAAGUCGGAGUCGCUAGUAAUCGCAGAUCAGCAACGCUGCGGUGAAUACGUUCCCGGGCCUUGUACACACCGCCUCGUCGCGUCAUGAAAGUCGGCAACACCCGA